RNAcentral lists this ribosomal RNA (490 nucleotides) under uncultured bacterium. RNAcentral's name for it is "partial 16S ribosomal RNA". It matches the Rfam family "Bacterial small subunit ribosomal RNA", at positions 29 to 523 of the family's 1533-position model. The record is from RNAcentral.
AAUGAACGUUGGCGGCGUGGAUUAGGCAUGCAAGUCGAGCGCGAUGAGUUUGGUAGCUUGCUAUUGAACUCGGAAAGCGGCGAAAGGGAGAGUAACGCGUAGUUACGUGCCCUAGGGUUCGGAAUAGCCACGGGAAACUGUGGGUUAUGCCUAAUAACAUCUCCGGAUCAAAGGUGCGAUUCCUCCCUGGGAGCGGACUGAGUCCUACUAGCUAGUUGGCGGGGUAAUGGCCCACCAAGGCAACAAUGGGUAGCGGGUGGGAGAGCAUGACCCGUCUCACUGGGACUGAGACACUGCCCAGACACCUACGGGUGGCUGCAGUCGAGAAUCUUCGGCAAUGGGCGAAAGCCUGACCGAGCGACGCCGCGUGCGGGAUGAAGGCCCUCGGGUUGUAAACCGCUGUCGUAGGGGAGGAAGGCUCUGCGAAGAACAGGGUUUGACCUAUCCUAGGAGGAAGUACGGGCUAAGUUCGUGCCAGCAGCCGCCGUAA